RNAcentral lists this ribosomal RNA (287 nucleotides) under uncultured bacterium. Its description in RNAcentral is "partial 16S ribosomal RNA". It matches the Rfam family "Bacterial small subunit ribosomal RNA", at positions 773 to 1060 of the family's 1533-position model. The record is from RNAcentral.
GUGGAUUAGAUACCCCAGUAGUCCACGCCGUAAACGAUGAGUACUAGGUGUAGGAGGUAUCGACUCCUUCUGUGCCGCAGUUAACACAAUAAGUACUCCGCCUGGGAAGUACGAUCGCAAGAUUAAAACUCAAAGGAAUUGACGGGGGCCCGCACAAGCAGCGGAGCAUGUGGUUUAAUUCGAAGCAACGCGAAGAACCUUACCUAGACUUGACAUCUCCUGAAUUACUCGUAAUGGAGGAAGCCCUUCGGGGCAGGAAGACAGGUGGUGCACGGUCGUCGCCAACU